Molecule: ribosomal RNA, 253 nt
Filed under: uncultured bacterium
Lineage: Bacteria
Description: partial 16S ribosomal RNA
Rfam family: Bacterial small subunit ribosomal RNA
Source: RNAcentral
GACAGAGGGUGCAACCGUUGCUCGGAAUUACUGGGCGUAAAGCGCGUGUAGGCGGGUCGGCAAGUCGGGCGUGAAAGCCCCAGGCUCAACCUGGGAACUGCACUUGAAACUUCCGGUCUAGAGUGGUGGAGAGGGAAGUGGAAUUCCUGGUGUAGAGGUGAAAUUCGUAGAUAUCAGGAGGAACACCAAUGGCGAAGGCAGCUCGCUGGGACGUGACUGACGCUGAGACGCGAAAGCGUGGGGAGCAAACAGG